This 460-nucleotide ribosomal RNA is filed under the name uncultured bacterium. Its description in RNAcentral is "partial 16S ribosomal RNA". It matches the Rfam family "Bacterial small subunit ribosomal RNA", at positions 338 to 795 of the family's 1533-position model. The record is from RNAcentral.
CCUACGGGUGGCAGCAGUGAGGAAUAUUGGUCAAUGGCCGUAAGGCUGAACCAGCCAAGUAGCGUGAGGGAAGACUGCCCUAUGGGUUGUAAACCUCUUUUAUGCGGGGAUAAAGGUGUCCACGUGUGGGUGUUUGCAGGUCCCUCAUGGAUAAGGACCGGCUAAUUCCGUGCCAGCAGCCGGGGUAAUACGGAAGGUCCGGGCGUUAUCCGGAUUUAUUGGGUUUAAAGGGAGCUUAGGCCGGUCUUUAAGCGUGCCGUGAAAUUUUGGGGCUCAACCAUCAGAGUGCCGCGCAAACUGGAGGAGUUGAGGACGCGGAGGGCAGGUGGAAUUCGUGGUGUAGCGGUGAAAUGCUUAGAUAUCACGAAGAACCCCGAUUGCGAAGGCAGCCUGCCGCAGCGUUACUGACGCUGAAGCUCGAAAGCGCGGGUAUCGAACAGGAUUAGAUACCCUUGUAGUC